This is a long non-coding RNA of Esox lucius (northern pike), 2740 nucleotides long. NCBI's taxonomy places the organism in Eukaryota, Metazoa, Chordata, Actinopteri, Esociformes, Esocidae. The record is from Ensembl.
CUUUUAUAUCAUGAAGAUUUAUUAUAGAAACAUAGUGAACAUUAAUUAGAAUUGAAUAGAAACACAGCAGAUUAUGGCAAAGUAGUAGGCAAUUUGAUAUUUACUUUUUAUACAACCGAAAGAGAGAAAGAGCUUAUUCCAGUAUUUACUGAAGAUUAUUUUAGUGGUAAGAACUUUACAACCGGAAUGCAAGUAUUUUCUAUAGAAUACUCAGCCUUCAGGUGUAAUGCCCUGUCGCAACCACACCCAAUGGGAGGACAGAUGUGUACACCACCAUUGGUCCUUAAGGUUCUCUGAAUGCGAUGGGUGGACACUAAAUCAUCAGCCGGACUAAGAGGGAGAAUUCUAGGUCUCAUCUAUGAUCGACAGUGGAUUUGUUGGUACAAGUCCAGGAUUCGCUUAAAGAGAAGCGUGACUUCUUACGUUUCGUGGUCCUAAACACAGACAUCCCCGUCCGCUCCGGCUUUUGGGCCGUUUGCAAGAAAGAACUGUGUUCAUCCACUGGAUUGCAGGGACACUGUGGUGGGGGAGGGGGGCAUCGACACCCCAAGCUCUCAGUGAAAUUCCAAUGAAAUGUGAGGGCAGGGCCAGGCGGGGUUCAUACCACCUGAUUGGCUGACACGUCCCAUGCUCACGCCCUGAUCAGGAUGAGUGGCCAGAAACCUCUGUGAGGAGUCCCAUCCCCCUCUCAAAGUUGUUAUGGUUACGAUCACAAAUCCUAGGUACACACAUGGGGGUGGGGACCUCAUACAUGACCCUUACAUGACCCUUACAUAACCGUGAGUCCUUAGGCCUGCUUUCACUGAAAGCAAGAAAACGUAUUCAGGAAAGAAUAUCAUCCAUGUAACAUCUACAGUAAACAACGCUCAAAGCAUGAAAACACGGUGUACUCUAUGCACGCAGACAAUCUCACUUCAGGGCUUCCCUUGAGAAGGAGAAUUACACGAGGUCCUGAUUUUGGCGUCUUGACCAAAUAAUACGUUUUAAAAGCAUCUGAAGUCUGUUUGGUCCCCUGAUGCCGGGAAGGUUCUUUUAAGAGGAGGGUGUAUUUAAGUUCCAGUUUUAGGCAGGGUUAAAUCUUUGCCUAUUCGGUUGCCCUGCAGGGUACGUGUGUCUGGGAUUUUAGAUAAAUCCGUCCCUACAUAGUCUAACCUCAAGAGAACUUCUCUUGGUUAAAAGGACGGGCGCCCUCCUUUUCUCACCUCGUACUGAAUAUUAUUGUCAUGGCAGUAAGGCUCCCAUUCAACAUCUUCCAGAUGUAUUGGAAAGCACUGUCUAAGAAGGAUCCUUGUUGUCUUCAUAUAAUUAACGUUAGCAUGUUGUGAGGAUCUUCACAACUUCUGUUAACGGAACGGCAUCUUCUUUGUUCCAUUUCUUCUGUUCAAUUGACCUGUGUGCAUUAGAAGUUACAUAGGUUCUCCAAGAGGAGGUCAUUAGUUUCACAAAGUUGUUUACAUCCUUAUGGGACUCCUUAUCGCCAAUAAUCACACUUUGGUUCGCUAAACAUUCCGCUGCUUUCGUAAGUGAGUGUCCUAUUCUGAUUACUGAACUUGGCUUGGUGUAGUCAUUUUUGUCCGGAUUGAACCCACUGACCUUCUUUGCCGCUUCAACGACCAGUUCGAACCGGCUGGGUUUACAGACGUCUUGUAGGUGCUGUAUACUGCUGUCAAGCUUCUUGACCGCUACCAUGAGUCUACCCACUUCCCUUAAUCUCUGAGAGAUGUAGCCGUGCUGGGACAACUCAUGACCACGCUCUGCGUACAAAGCAUCUCCAAACUGACAAAUGAAGGGGUCGUUUCGUAUGUGAAAAGCCACUGAAUCUUGUUGCAUUUUGUGGAUGAUCUUUUGGCAUCCCUGCGAAGCACUUUUAGAGAUUGGGAUCAGAUGGGAAGCUAGAGAUUGGACCCUCUUCCUCGACCCUUUUUCUUCACUAUUCUUUGACCCUUUUUCUCCUUCCUUUUUUGCCCUGCAAGACGACUCGUGUCUCCAUAACUCGCUCUUCACAAAAAAAGCCAAACAGUGAGAACAGGGCAGGUAGUCCUCAAUGGAAGCACUUCCUGGGGGUUGUCUCCAUGUAACGAUCUCUCCCUUCCCCUCUUCAAGCACUAAGAUGUUGUGUUGAUAGUCACCUUUGUUUCUCAGCUCUUCAAGCAAGGCUGACCUUUUCUUAGAGCCUUUUGGGAAGCUACAAGCCCGGGCUACGUCCUCCUCAUCUCCAUGCUUUCUUUCUAAGUGCCUGGAUAUUUUAGAAUUGGGUUUCAUGCAGUAUAUACAGAAAUGCUUUUUGUCAUAGAGCCUUUUCCCAUCCUUGGUCUUACUGCAGGUUUUGAUUGUUAAUGUAGACAUGCUUUUCUUCUGUUUGACAGGGCCGGGUUUAGACUUUGGGGACGGGGUAGAGGGCGUGCAGGGUGUCUCACUGUCUGUUGAAUCAGAGUUUUCCUCUGCUGGGAUGAAGUGGGGAUAAUUCAUUUGAUCAUCUGACAACACGUCAAAAUCCUCAUCUGACGUCAUGCUCAUUUGGUCAGAAAACACAUAAUUAGGGACUCUCUGGGAGCCGAGGCGGGUGGCCCUGGUCUUGGUCGAACUGGAGAGCCGGGACUUCUUGGUAGCGACCGUGGCAUCAAAACUGAAGUCUAACAGAUGACAAGGAGAAAACCAGAAACCGAAAAGCAUUAUUACAUUAAUCUUACAGUUAAAAACGAAUUUAAUAAAUAUUCUCCUGGGCCAGUUUGAUUACAAA